This is a long non-coding RNA of Ruditapes philippinarum (Manila clam), 1949 nucleotides long. RefSeq lists it as uncharacterized. Lineage: Eukaryota; Metazoa; Mollusca; Bivalvia; Venerida; Veneridae. The record is from RefSeq and is a predicted model, not a curated record. The transcript is spliced from 3 exons.
CACUGUGGCUGUUUGUUGACAACUACACAAAAUGGCGACAGAUUCAAUCAAUUUUCGCCGAUAAAAUGAUUCAAGACACCUGCAUAUACAUAAUUGCUGCGGUGUUUUGGCGAGUAAAGAUAAACAAUGUCAAACGUCUUUAAGGUCACUGUAAACAGUAUUUACUGUAGGUCAUCAUAGUCUGUCAGUCAGCCGUCAAAUAGGUCAUCAUAGCCUGUCAGUCAGCCGUCAAAUAGGUCAUCAUAGCCUGUCAGUCAGCCGUCAAAAAGGUCAUCAUAGUCUGUCAGUCAGCCGUCAAAUAGGAACAAAACGAUGGUUUCUCAUUGUCGAGAGCAAAGAUUGUGCCUAGUUUUCACAAUGCAGAAUAAAUGCACAGGCAUACUAUACUUCCAGCAGAAGUAUCAGUAGAAAAAACAUCAUACUGUUACUCGUUACUACAUGAUCUGUCUUUAAAAACUUUUGUUACCAUAUUUAUCACAAUGGAAGUAAGUAUUUGACUUGAAAAUGGAAUUGAAUUUGAUACUUCACACUGAUAUUUGUACUCAUUUGAAGACCCAUUGCACAAUGACAUCACAAGCACCUGCUACCAGAAUUUAGCAGAUGUACCGGUUGGCAAGAAGAACCAAUAUUUAUAAACAUUAUAUAGCAGCAGAAUUUUUAAAUUCUUAUAACUUUUUUAUUUGUGGAUCGAUUUUUUAGAUUCUUAUAUCAUUUGAAAGUUCUUUGUAUUCAUAUUUUUAAAAUAUAAGCGGAUUUUCAUUUUUUGCUUUUAAAAAAUAAAGCUCAGCUAUUUUUCAACUGUUAUUUCAAUAGUUUUCUAGCACCAAGUUUAACUCCUUACCAAGAAAAAAUGAAAACGCUUUGUUAACUUAUUUUUUAAUAUAUAAAAUAUGAGUAAAAUGACCUUUCUAAUGAUAUAAAAUACUAAGCUGUUUCAUGAAAAAUAAGUUUUUUAUUAUAAAUAUAAAAUUACUAUAUUUUGCAUUUUAUCAGCCACCAUUUUUUUGCCAACCAUCCGAAAGUUACCUGUAUCUCUUAUCAGCAAUUUGUUACUAUUAAUAGAUUUCAUAACAAUAACAUGCAAAGAUUUUGUGAAAGGGCGACAGCAACUUCUCGAGCCUUAUAGUCGGUCAUAAUAAAAGCCGAUCAUUCCGGUCGGUAUGAGGGUGCUUGAUUAAAAAAAAAUAUCUCGAUAUGUACAAUGAAUAGCGAACUGGAGAAUUUCGCAAUGCAUGAGUCUCUUCGGUUUUUUUUUAUUUAUCAUUUUGUAGUACACAUAGAGGAUAUUCAAGUUUUUUCUAUAAAUACAUGAUUUAUUUUCAUCAAGUGGUAUGAAAAUAAAUAUUUCAUGAGUGGCGGUAGCCACGAGUGAAAUAUGGUAAUUUUCAUGCCACAAUAGAAAAAACUUGAAUUUUCUGUUUAUUAUAUACAUUUUUCUCUUUUUUGCGAUAAAAUUUGAAGGACUUCCCCUUAAAUUUUGUGUACUGGCAGAAAUUAAAAGAAAGUAGUCCGGCAAGACACCAGUGAAAAUACGGAAAAUAUGUUUCACUGCAGUGAAAAAUAAAUUUUUACAGUGAAAAUACGGAAAAUGAAAAUACGCAUUUUAUUUCAUCAAUAUUUCUCAAUAUUUCAUUUAUAAGUAUAUAAUAAAGUGGGUUAUUAUGGUAUGUUAAAAUAGAAUGAUGAGUUGAUGACCUAAACAUUCCGAAAAUCUAUUUAUAGAGGGAUGUACUGCUAUCGGUAAUUCCCGGUCUCUCCCGGUCUAUUUUGACCGGGAUUUACUAGUGACCGGCGAAUAGUAUCACGGUCUCUCCCGGUUUUGGAGUAGAUGUUUGAUAUCGUUACAGAACAGAACAGAUAUUUUACAGAUAAAUAAGCUUUUUUUCCAAAAUGAAUGUUUGUCACUUAGUUUGGUUACAAUAAUUAAUAAACAUAGAUCAACUCUCAAA